UCAGUUGUUAAGGUCAGUGGUAGAGCACUUGCCCAGAAUGCAUGAGGCCAUGGGUUUGAUCCCCAGCACUGAA
This 73-nucleotide transfer RNA is filed under the name Marmota monax (woodchuck). RNAcentral describes it as "tRNA.Ser". Lineage: Eukaryota; Metazoa; Chordata; Mammalia; Rodentia; Sciuridae. The record is from RNAcentral.